RNAcentral lists this ribosomal RNA (339 nucleotides) under uncultured Clostridium sp. Its description in RNAcentral is "bacterial SSU rRNA". It matches the Rfam family "Bacterial small subunit ribosomal RNA", at positions 355 to 709 of the family's 1533-position model. Lineage: Bacteria; Bacillati; Bacillota; Clostridia; Eubacteriales; Clostridiaceae. The record is from RNAcentral.
UGGGGAAUAUUGCACAAUGGGCGAAAGCCUGAUGCAGCAACGCCGCGUGAGGGAAGACGGUUUUCGGAUUGUAAACCUCUGUUUUCGGUGACGAACAAAUGACGGUAACCGAGUAGGAAGCCACGGCUAACUACGUGCCAGCAGCCGCGGUAAUACGUAGGUGGCAAGCGUUAUCCGGAUUUACUGGGUGUAAAGGGCGUGUAGGCGGGACUGCAAGUCAGAUGUGAAAUACGGAGGCUUAACCUCCGAGCUGCAUUUGAAACUGCAAUUCUUGAGUGAUGGAGAGGUAAGCGGAAUUCCCAGUGUAGCGGUAAAAUGCGUAGAUAUUGGGAGGAACAC